UGGGGAAUCUUGGACAAUGGGGGCAACCCUGAUCCAGCGACGCCGCGUGGGUGGUAAGGCCUUCGGGUUGUAAAGCCCUUUCACCGGGGAAGAUGAUGACAUUACCCGGAGAAGAAGCGCCGGCUAACUCCGUGCCAGCAGCCGCGGUAAGACGGAGGGCGCUAGCGUUGUUCGGAAUCACUGGGCGUAAAGGGCGCGUAGGCGGCUGUUUAAGUCGAGGGUGAAAGCCCGGGGCUCAACCCUGGAACUGCCUCCAAAACUAUCAGUCUAGAGUUCGAGAGAGGUGAGUGGAACUCCGAGUGUAGAGGUGAAAUUCGUAGAUAUUCGGAAGAACACCAGUGGCGAAGGCGGCUCACUGGCUCGAUACUGACGCUGAGGUGCGAAAGUGUGGGGAGCAAACAGGAUUAGAUACCCCCGUAGUCC
This 423-nucleotide ribosomal RNA is filed under the name uncultured prokaryote. Its description in RNAcentral is "bacterial SSU rRNA". It matches the Rfam family "Bacterial small subunit ribosomal RNA", at positions 355 to 796 of the family's 1533-position model. The record is from RNAcentral.